AACGAACGCUGGCGGCAGGCCUAACACAUGCAAGUCGAGCGGACCCUUCGGGGUUAGCGGCGGACGGGUGAGUAACGCGUGGGAAUAUGCCCUUCUCUACGGAAUAGUCCUGGGAAACUGGGGGUAAUACCGUAUACGCCCUUUGGGGGAAAGAUUUAUCGGGGAAGGAUUAGCCCGCGUUGGAUUAGGUAGUUGGUGGGGUAAUGGCCUACCAAGCCGACGAUCCAUAGCUGGUUUGAGAGGAUGAUCAGCCACACUGGGACUGAGACACGGCCCAGACUCCUACGGGAGGCAGCAGUGGGGAAUCUUAGACAAUGGGGGCAACCCUGAUCUAGCCAUGCCGCGUGAGUGAUGAAGGCCUUAGGGUUGUGAAGCUCUUUCAGCUGGGAAGAUAAUGACGGUACCAGCAGAAGAAGCCCCGGCUAACUCCGUG
RNAcentral lists this ribosomal RNA (433 nucleotides) under uncultured bacterium. RNAcentral's name for it is "partial 16S ribosomal RNA". It matches the Rfam family "Bacterial small subunit ribosomal RNA", at positions 29 to 507 of the family's 1533-position model. The record is from RNAcentral.